UCCAUCCGAGCCUAGAGGCCUUUGCUACAGAUUGAAGGACCAGGAAAUUUGGAUGAAAUUUCGAGACUUUCUUCUUCUUUGAGAUAUUGUUUUUCAGGCAAAAGAGGAGCUUACAGACAGCAGCCAAGACAGUUAAGGAUUUGGAAAGCAUCUCCAUUGAACAGAUCUUGAGAGAGAUUUAAACUCUCCGGGAAUUCCUUUUCCCGCCUUCAUUGCAUUCUACAAACCUAGGAAAUGAUGAAGAAGAACACAUUGAAUUGAUCGGAAUGAAAGAUACGACAGAUUCUUGAGCUUCGUGAGCUUCAACAGCCAUGCCUCGGCUCCAAUAGACCCUACAAACUCUA
Molecule: long non-coding RNA, 344 nt
Organism: Impatiens glandulifera
Lineage: Eukaryota; Viridiplantae; Streptophyta; Magnoliopsida; Ericales; Balsaminaceae
Exons: 3
Source: RefSeq, a predicted model, not a curated record